Long non-coding RNA from Grus americana (Whooping crane), 2245 nucleotides. RefSeq lists it as uncharacterized. The transcript is spliced from 6 exons. Lineage: Eukaryota; Metazoa; Chordata; Aves; Gruiformes; Gruidae. The record is from RefSeq and is a predicted model, not a curated record.
UCUCCCAUUUCAUCCUCUGCAGGACUGUCUCCAAGGCAGUCUCUCUCUCCCUAGCAACUCUCCCACUCAUUUCGACACCCAGCGCCGUGAAGGGCACGGCUCCAUUUCUUCAUCCAGCUGCUGUGUGUGAACCCGGCAAAAAUCAGGGGAAAAGGAUGGGCCUCCAGUUACAUCUCACAGUACGCUGGAGUGAGGCAGGCGACAUUGUUCCCAGCUGACUUCAGUGACAAUGGUGUGGGGUAGUGGAGGAUCAGACUGGCCUCUUGCCUUUGAACAAGUGGGCUGCAGAAACGCCUUGGGAUACCUCUGGAAAUGCCUCAUGCCCGAAGAAAGUGAGUGCAGCCCUGGCCAACGAUGUUACAACGGGGUUUGCAUCUGUAUUUUUCCUUUUUGGAAUAGUCGGCCAAGACAAGUGAACUAUGGAAGAGACUGCUCCUUGUUUUCUAUUCUACUUUAAGUCCACUCUGAGGAACACCACAACUGCAGACUGAGUGCUGGUCCAGUAUUCCUGAAGGACCAUAUCUCAAAACCCCAGACUCAGAUUUCAAGAAGGACUCCCAAGGCAAGUCGCACAUACAGCUUGCUGCAGUAGACUGGCUCUUCAGAACUGACAGUCUGACCAGCUGCUACGCACAGCUCAGGGCAAAAUCCAGAGCUGCAUCUUCUCUACUCUUUUGCUGCCUAUUUGAGGCAACAAGCAGCUGUUUAUGAUACCUAAAAAUGGUGCCUCUGCACUACGUACUAGUGUGUCCCACUGCGCACGAGAGCGGUGACAUCUGUUCUUAUGGUAAGUGGAAAGACAGAAGUCUGAACUCCCACCCUUAGGAAAUCAGUCACUGUGACUUUUUUUAAUUGAAAGGUUUGUUUUAAAAAAUGCUCGGAAGCGGUUUGUCACAAGCUGAAAUGGUUGGUCAUGUUACAUUGACCCUUUUUUUGUUUUGUUCCACUAACAAAAAAAUUAGGGGCGAUAUCUGUUGUGUUGCCUAAGGAUGCCUCUCAUUGCAUUUGUGUAAUACAUUCCGACUAUAUCCAAAAUGGACAGUCUUUUUCACUGCAAGUAUAAGGAAGACCAGCUUCUUAGCAGCUCACAGCCCGUUCAGACCGUUCUCUUUGCAGUGACUGGACUGUUACAUGCUAGAGGUAGCACGCUUUUCCUCCAGUAGGAAAAAAAAAAAUCAAGGUUACGGACAUACUAGCAAAACUUCCUGUGUGUUCAGAGUAUGUGUUGCAUCUCCAUAUGCCCUUCUACUGGUGCAAUACAUAUAAAUUUCCAGGAAAAAAGAAGCUCUAAUGAUAAACUGCAACUGUCCUACACUUAAUCUAUUGUUUGGCACAUUUCUGUAACUGGGAUUGUUAAAGCAAACAGUAUUAGUGCAGACCUAGCUAUAGAUCUUAACCACCAGCUAAAAACUGUUGGUGUUUCUGAAUCUCUACCUAGACCACAGAAUUUAUUUAGAACAGAAAAGGGACUCAUGAACAGUUCUGGUCAGCAUGAAGUAGAUAAUCAGAUCUUUUCCCUGGCUUGUAUGCAGAUAUUUGAAGUGAUUGUGGUUGAUCCUUGGUUUCAUAAUGGUGUUAAUCUGGACCAACUUAAUUAAGGUAAAAGAUGCCAAUCUGCACCAGGGCUAAGCUAAUGGCCAGGAUUUGUUAAUAUGAUUUUACUAGUCAGUGCAGAUAAACUGUCAGCAUUUAGUACUGCAGAGUGGAUUCCUUGUAGAAAAGCAUGUAAGAUAAUGUGUGGUUGGAGCUUUUUAAAUUUCUCUGCUGGACUAAACUGGGGAGAAGCAGGACUACAAUCUGCAUGAAGUUUACAGACAACCUCUAAAGGUCAUGUGCAAAAAAUUAAAGAAGACAAAGCUCCUGAUGUAACCAUCCGGAAGCUCAUCAAACACCACAGCUGUCAAUGUGCACAAGAUCUACUUCACAAUGAGCUGAGAGCAAACGUGGGGACCAGUGCAGGCUGCACAACAUAUUACUGAAGCAAAUUAUCCCAUCUGGAAUGUGUAAAGUCAAGCACAUGGAUCAGUUUUUGCAAGACAUGGACUAUAAUUUACCACUUGGAUUUCUAGAGCUGUGCUCCCACACGGAAAACACUGUUGAGAGGUCCUUCACACCACAAAGCCACUGGGGAGGAUUCUCUGUAUUUCAGUGAAAAGUCAAGAGCUGAAACAGCUUUCUCCAUCAGCAAGGGUUUUGUUUCUUCAGCUUCAUGGAAAAUCUAGAAAAGUCAAUAUUGCUAAUCAGG